Molecule: ribosomal RNA, 496 nt
Filed under: uncultured bacterium
Lineage: Bacteria
Description: partial 16S ribosomal RNA
Rfam family: Bacterial small subunit ribosomal RNA
Source: RNAcentral
GAUGAACGCUGGCGGCGUGCCUAAUACAUGCAAGUCGAGCGAACAGACGAGGAGCUUGCUCCUCUGACGUUAGCGGCGGACGGGUGAGUAACACGUGGAUAACCUACCUAUAAGACUGGGAUAACUUCGGGAAACCGGAGCUAAUACCGGAUAAUAUAUUGAACCGCAUGGUUCAAUAGUGAAAGACGGUUUUGCUGUCACUUAUAGAUGGAUCCGCGCCGCAUUAGCUAGUUGGUAAGGUAACGGCUUACCAAGGCAACGAUGCGUAGCCGACCUGAGAGGGUGAUCGGCCACGCUGGAACUGAGACACGGUCCAGACUCCUACGGGAGGCAGCAGUAGGGAAUCUUCCGCAAUGGGCGAAAGCCUGACGGAGCAACGCCGCGUGAGUGAUGAAGGUCUUCGGAUCGUAAAACUCUGUUAUUAGGGAAGAACAAAUGUGUAAGUAACUAUGCACGUCUUGACGGUACCUAAUCAGAAAGCCACGGCUAACUACGU